Molecule: ribosomal RNA, 454 nt
Filed under: uncultured Streptococcus sp.
Lineage: Bacteria; Bacillati; Bacillota; Bacilli; Lactobacillales; Streptococcaceae
Description: bacterial SSU rRNA
Rfam family: Bacterial small subunit ribosomal RNA
Source: RNAcentral
ACAAGCGGUGGAGCAUGUGGUUUAAUCGAAGCAACGCGAAGAACCUUACAGGUCUUGACAUCCCGAUGCUAUUUCUAGAGAUAGAAAGUUACUUCGGUACAUCGGUGACAGGUGGUGCAUGGUUGUCGUCAGCUCGUGUCGUGAGAUGUUGGGUUAAGUCCCGCAACGAGCGCAACCCCUAUUGUUAGUUGCCAUCAUUCAGUUGGGCACUCUAGCGAGACUGCCGGUAAUAAACCGGAGGAAGGUGGGGAUGACGUCAAAUCAUCAUGCCCCUUAUGACCUGGGCUACACACGUGCUACAAUGGUUGGUACAACGAGUUGCGAGUCGGUGACGGCGAGCUAAUCUCUUAAAGCCAAUCUCAGUUCGGAUUGUAGGCUGCAACUCGCCUACACGAAGUCGGAAUCGCUAGUAAUCGCGGAUCAGCACGCCGCGGUGAAUACGUUCCCGGGCCUU